Molecule: ribosomal RNA, 261 nt
Filed under: uncultured prokaryote
Description: partial 16S ribosomal RNA
Rfam family: Bacterial small subunit ribosomal RNA
Source: RNAcentral
UACGGAGGGUGCAAGCGUUGUUCGGAAUUACUGGGCGUAAAGGGCGCGCAGGCGGCCUGCCAAGUCAGAUGUGAAAUGCCAUGGCUUAACCAUGGACGUGCAUUUGAAACUGGUGGGCUUGAGUACCAGAGGGGAAGGUGGAAUUCCCGGUGUAGCGGUGAAAUGCGUAGAGAUCGGGAGGAACACCAGUGGCGAAGGCGACCACCUGGACUGAUACUGACACUGAGGUGCGAAAGCGUGGGGAGCAAACAGGAUUAGAUA